GCCGGGCGUGGUGGCGGGCGCCUGUAAUCCCAGCUACUCAGGAGGCUGAGGCAGGAGAAUCGCUUGAACCUGGGAGGUUGCAGUGAGCUGAGAUUGCGCCACUGCACUCCAGCCUGGGCGACACAGCGAGACUCUGUCUCAA
RNAcentral lists this non-coding RNA (142 nucleotides) under Gorilla gorilla gorilla (western lowland gorilla). The record is from Rfam by way of RNAcentral. Lineage: Eukaryota; Metazoa; Chordata; Mammalia; Primates; Hominidae.